AUGGCGCUCGACGGUGCCGAGCGUGAGAUUUUGGACGAGCAACGCGGGGAGAUCGGUUGGGACGAACUCGGCCUGGGAAAGCAGGGCGGUGUAGGUCGCGACCGCGAGCGGCAACGUCAACUGCAGCACGCAGUGCGCGCCAGGGUGUGCGCGCGGUGCCGGUGCACCGGGUGCCCGAGGAACACUGGCCACUGGAACGGCAUGUACCCGAAGCGGCCGGCGAAGAGCAUGAGCGAGGCCACGUUGGACGCCGUGGUCGGCAUGGUCGCGUGGCGCUCCACGCCUCGGCAAGCCUCACCAGCUCCGUCGCGACCCGAGCCGCCUGCACGUACACGUACAAGACCCGUACGAGUCAAGUUACACAUACGAGAUUUAAGACGAGAGAUUAGGGUUAUGACCGCCGCGCGCGUCCGGCCGAUCCGUCGAAUCCGACUGGAGUUUCUGCGGCCGCACGUCACCAAGUCCGACAGGCGUUCCAAUCGAUUUUAUCAACUCAUGGCAUCCAUGAAGUACGAUCUUCCGCUGCUGGACCGUGACACAAGGUUUACCCUAUGGCUAGUCAAGAUGCGGGCGUUGUUGGCACAGUCCGACUAUGAUGAAGCACUGGAUAGUUUUGGGAAGAACCGAAUUCAGGACUGGACUGAUGAGGAGAAAAGAAUUGAUUGUAAGGCUUUGUCACAAAUUCAAUUUCAUUUGCAUAAUAAUAUUUUGCAGGAAGUUUUGAGCGAGAAAACUGCCGCCGCUCUAUGGUUAAAGCUGGAAGGGAUUUGCAUGACUAAAUAUCUCACCAGCAAGAUGCAUCUGAAGCAAAAAUUAUUCCUGCACAGGUUACCCGAUGAAGGUAAUGUUUUGAAUCAUAUUUCAGAAUUUAAAGAGAUCAUAUCUGAUCUAGCUGCAAUGGAGGUUAAGUAUAAAGAGGAAGAUACUGCUUUAAUGUUACUUUGUUCACUGCCAAGUUCUUAUAUCAAUUUUAGAGACACCAUAUUAUACAGUCGUGAUACUCUCACGCUUAAUGAAGUUUAUGAAGCUUUGAACUCCAAGGAGAAGAUGAAAUUAAUGGUGCCUCAUGAUGGUUCAAGUUCAUCCCAAGCCGAGGGAUUAUCUGUUCGUGGCAGGACAAAGGAGAAGAACUCCAAUAAUGGAAACAGAGGCAGAAGUAAAAACGGCUAUAGGGGCCGGUCGCAAUCCAGAGACAAGAAGUAUUGCAGGUAUUGCAGGAGAGACGGGCAUGACAUCUCUGAGUGUUUCAAGUUGCAGAACAAGGAAAAGAGGAAAGGUAACAAACAAGGUGAAAAUUCUGUUAACGUUGCUCGUGAUGAUAGUUCCGAUGAUGCUCUGUUCGUUAUUGCUGGAUGUGCUGAGACCAAUGAUGAGUGGGUACUUGAUACUGCAUGCACUUUUCAUAUGUGUCCACAUAGAGAUUGGUUUAAUACUUUUGAUUCCACUACUGUUGCUGGUUCUGUUUUGGGUUUUGAUAAUUCACCAUGCAAGAUUGAAGGCAUAGGUUCUAUUCGAAUCAAGAUGUUUGAUGGCAUGAUCAGAACUUUGACAGAUGUUCGGUAUAUUCCGAAGAUGAAGAGAAAUCUUAUCUCUGUUAGUGCUCUUGAUGCAAAGGGGUACAAGUAUUCAGGUGGAGAUAGUGUUUUGAAAGUCACCAAAGGUUCCCUUAUUGUGAUGAAAGGUGAUUUAAGUUCGACCAAUGGUCUUUAUUACCUUCGAGGUUCUACUGUUUCAGAGUUAAACAAGAGAGGUCUUCUUGAUGGAUAUGAACCUAGUAAAUUGAAAUUUUGUGAGCACUGUAUCUUCGGCAAGCACAAGAGGGUGAAGUUCAAUACUUCGACCCAUACAACUGAAGGUAUUCUUGAUUAUGUGCAUUCUGAAUUAUGGGGACCAUCUCGCAAGAAAGACGUCCUUGCCGCGGGCUUGUACUUCUACGGGUUGCAGGCUACCAGCGCAGCAUACUCUUCCAUCUUCCUCAACUUGAUCGCCAUUGCCACCUUCAUUAUUGCCAUAGUGCUACGGGCUAAGAAGCAGGCACUGGCAAAUUGUCCAGGCAAGAUGAAGUUGCUUGGCUCGCUGCUCUGCAUUGGCGGGACCAUGAUGGCUGGUGAAGGUGUUCCCGCCAAUCUACUUGAUGACAAACUGAUGUCCCUACUGGGGAGCAUACAAUCCUUGGUGGUGGGUGUCUUCAUCGUCCAUGACAGAGCUGAAUGGACGCUCAAGUGGGACCUCAAGCUGCUACGGUUAUCUAUUCAAGACGUCCUUGCCGCGGGCUUGUACUUCUACGGGCUGCAGGCUACCAGCGCAACAUACUCUUUCAUCUUCCUCAACUUGAUCACCAUUGCCACCUUCAUUAUUGCCAUAGUGCUACGGGCUGAGAAGCAGACACUGGUAAAUUGUCCAGGCAAGAUGAAGCUGCUUGGCUCACUGCUCUGCAUUGGCGGGACCAUGAUGAUCGUAGCCGCCACCUCCUCCCUUCCAGAUCGAGGCUGCCACCUCCCUCCGGCCGCUGCACCGUUGCACCGCUCCGCCCUGCCCGCCUGCUCUGCCUGCCCGACUGCUGCGCCGGCCAUGGCGUACCAGUACCACCACCAGGACCACGCCGCGGCCGCGCUGGGGAUGGACCCGGCGGCGGCGGGGAACCCCGGCGGCGGCUUCGCGCCAGGCCUGGGUGCAGGCGCGCCCGGCGGGUGGGAGAGGGAGAAGGCGGCCAUCGAGGUGCACCCGCUGUACGAGCGGCUGCUGGAGGUGCACGUCGCCUGCCUGCGUGUCGCCACCCCCGUCGACCAGCUCCCCCGCAUCGACGCACAGAUCGCCGCGCGCGCCCCGCCGCCCAUGCCCCCCGCCGCCGCGCCCUCCGGCGGCGGGGAGCUCAACCUCUUCAUGGUGAGCUGCUGCUACCACCAGGCCUUUCUUCACCCCAAGCUCAAGGUGAAGAAGGCCAUCGAGAAGGGCAACGCCGAUGGCGCCCAGAUAUAUGCCGAGAACGCCAUCCGCAAGUGCACCGAGCACAUGAACUACCUCCGCCUCGCCCUAUACGCCCAUGAGUGA
RNAcentral lists this ribosomal RNA (3051 nucleotides) under Triticum aestivum (bread wheat). RNAcentral's name for it is "partial small subunit ribosomal RNA". Lineage: Eukaryota; Viridiplantae; Streptophyta; Magnoliopsida; Poales; Poaceae. The record is from RNAcentral.